Pristis pectinata (smalltooth sawfish) is the source of this 274-nucleotide long non-coding RNA. RefSeq lists it as uncharacterized. The transcript has 3 exons. The record is from RefSeq and is a predicted model, not a curated record. Lineage: Eukaryota; Metazoa; Chordata; Chondrichthyes; Rhinopristiformes; Pristidae.
UCGGGUUCUGAAAGCUGGGUUACUGGCUGGGGCAAUACAGAAGAAGGAGGUAUGGCAUCUGAAGUCCUACGGAAGGUCUCGGUACCUUUAAUUAACACCGAAGACUGUAGAAGGCUUUAUUAUGCAGAACUCUUUCCUCGUAUGAUUUGUGCUGGCUACCAACAAGGCGGAUUUGACGCAUGUCAGGGUGACAGCGGUGGCCCUUUAGCUAUCAACCAGAACUCAUUCUGGUGGCUAGUAGGUGCUACAAGCUGGGGUUAUGGAUGUGGCAGAG